Long non-coding RNA from Papaver somniferum (opium poppy), 3178 nucleotides. RefSeq lists it as uncharacterized. The transcript is spliced from 11 exons. Lineage: Eukaryota; Viridiplantae; Streptophyta; Magnoliopsida; Ranunculales; Papaveraceae. The record is from RefSeq and is a predicted model, not a curated record.
ACCACUCGUCCUCUCUUUCGCUCUCUCAGACAGAUCUGACUCUGAACAAGAAAAGCUCUCCCGUUAUUGAAUCUCUUGCGCCAUUGAAACCAGAGGAAGUUAGAUUUAAGUUGCUGGUGUUAGGGUUCAUUUGGAUUUGGGAAUUUACGAGACCUCAACUUCCUUAGUAUUUUGCAGCAGCUUUUGGGGUACUCGUCUUGCUCCUUAAAAGAAGAAAAGUCGUGAUUUCUCCAACACUCGUUCAAAAUCCUUCUCCUGGAAAUCUACAGUCUAGUCAUCUUGCUCUUCAUGUUAAUGAAGAUGAAUCCUAUUGUUCUGCAUUUAUAGCUUCAGGAUGCAAUAUUUACAAGCUUGAGAUUUCAUUAGAAGAUUCUCCAGUUGCCAAGGGAAAUUGACCCUCUUGAUUUAUGUACCUACGAAGCUCAGCUUAUAAUCUCUACAGGACAGUUCUCCACUUUUUGCCUUAGUAAUUUCAUUCGUGCCCAGCUGUUGUGAGGAAGAAGAUUGGAGAUGAGACUGAUCGAGAGACGGGCGUCGAAAGGGAAUUUCUAGUGUUCCUAUUCAUCUUAGCGUUUACUCUACAAAUGGUUGGAAUUACCUAGGUCACAUCUUCACGAAUAACAUGGAUUCAGUCUUAUUAAGGAUUGGGUUGGACAUAAGAUGAACCCAUUUGCAGAACAGGAGGCAAGGGAAAAUCAUCAAAUUGGUAAAUUUCUGCUUUCUUGAUAACAUGGAUUCGAUCUCAACUUACCCCGCAUUGUGGGUAAGGCAACUCUGCAGUAUGGUUCGGAAAUUAAAAAGUUGCCAGGUGAUUUACUUUUGUGUUUUAUGUUCGGUUUAUAGUUUUUUUUUUAUCAGCUUUGCGCUGACUUGGUUAGUUUUUUUGCUGUGUUGCAACGAUACGGAUACGGUAUCGGAUACAAGAUACCAAUACGCUACUAUGAUACACCAACUUGAAAAACUAAAAUACGGCGAUACGGCAUAUCAGCAGUUUAACAUGAAUAUAUUAUAUAUAAGAUAGAAACUUGACAAAAUGCGUACAUGUAUGAUUAACCUCACUGGAUAGAAAAAAUCUGGAUAACAAGGAAGAAAGUCUAGAGCAAGAUCAGUGGACAGAUUUGGAACUAAUAUUUUGUCACUAUAGUUAAAACUUCUCAUAGAAUCUAGUAAAAUACCUAAUUUUCUAAUAUUAAGGUAUUGAGAUCUAAUAUUUAGUCAAAGUUUUCUAACUGAGUUGUAUCUUGAAGUAUUGGAAGUAUUAGUACGCGUAUCCGUGUAAAUACGUAUCGAUACGGCUGAAUUUUUUUUUUUAGGUGUAUCGGUGUAACACAGUUUUUUUGUUUUGAAUGUGGUGCUUAGACGAGGAAUUUGAAACCGAUUCUGAAAAGUCUAAAAGGGGUUCUCUAUAUCGAAGGGUGUAUCUGAAGAGAGGAGAAGAUUGUUGUUGUUCCGGUGAGAAUUAUAAAAUUGAAGUGGUUUUGAUUGAAAAAGAUGUGUCCUAUGAGUGCAGAAGAUCGUGGUGGACUUGUUUGAGAUUUAAAGAAUAAGCUUGAGACUUUGGCUGAAUAGCAUUCUGUUGUUGAUUUACAAAUGGUUGGAUAGCAUUCGUGUUAUGAGAUCUCCCUAUUCUAUUCAUCAAUAGCCCCAUCUGGUGGUAAAAAGCCCUCUUGGGUUUUCAGAGAAGAUACUAGUGUGAUUAUUGGAAGUGUGAGUUAUGUUAGACUUGAAUAUGACCUUUAGAAAGGUGUCGAGUUGCAUUCUGAUCGUCGUUUUGGUUUUCCAGGCUAGUGUUAAUUACUAUUAAGAUGCUCAGUUGUCUUAUUUACGAGCUUUCUGGUAUGUUGUUACUCACUCCAGCUGAUAGUCAUGGAACUGGUAGUUGGAUGAUAUGAAAGCAAAUGACCUGAAAGUAGAAACCUUGUGUCCAUUUUGCUGAUAUGAGAGCUACAGGUACACUUCCUAUUUACGUUUACAAAUAGUUUCUGCUGUUCCUUCACUGAAAUUUGAGAUGAGAAUGCUGUGAAAUAAAUAAAAGGAGUUGGGAUCUUGUUGGAUAUAAUCCUUGCAUUAGUUAAUCAUCAUCGAAAUGGCAGGAGUAUUACUUGAAAAACCUUAGACCUUGAUAUAUUUUGUGCUGAUCACCUUUCCUAGAAUUUGUAAAACUAUACACCAGGGCUGGUCACCUUUCAUUACACCAUCUUGAUUCAUGAAAUUACUUUGUAUCUUGACAGUAUUAAGCUUUUUAGGUCUGGGCAGUAUUAAGAUGCCUUGUUGUUAAGUGUAUGAGCUUGCGUUACAGGUUGUUACAUGUUAUGCAAAUAGAGAUGCUUGCUUCUCAAAUUCGGUACGAGUAUAUAAAAUGAUGUUUAUUAUUCAACUUAAGCCACGUGAUAAAUGACCUGAACUAUAUUUCUUAUGCCUUCUUUAAGUCCUGUAUGGUCUGAACUAUGCACUUCAACGUGUAAUUCCGACUUUGGUUUUCUUUUCAUGUAUCAUGGUGUUCUUCGUCUGGUCAUAAUUCCUUCUAUCAUUUGAUCUUGAAGUUGAAACAUGAUAUUCACAAGGUAAAUAUGAGGAGACUAUUAAGGAGUGCGACAAAGCUCUGGAGUUAAAUCCUGCAUAUAUGAAAGAUCUGAUUAGAGAGUGGAGGCUCACGAAAAGCUUCAACACUUUGAAGGAGCUAUGCUAGACAUGAAGAAAACUGUGGAGUUGGAUCCUUCAAAUAAUCAAGCUAGAAGAUCCAUUCUACGCUUGGAGCCCUUAGCUGCAGAAAAGCGGGAAAAGAUGAAAGAGGAGAUGAUUACUGGAACUGGCAGGUUACAGGCUGGCACAGUCGUACCUUUGAGAUUUAGUGGGGACUUCAGAGUAUAGUGUUGAAUCAGUACCAAGUGUUCAAGGAAGCUACAUUAUUGCAACUCGAGGCCGAAAUGGAAGCCACAUCAGAAGAACCAGUUCACCAGUAGGAGUUUCUUAUAUUCUUCGUAUAUGCAUGUCUCUUCUCUUACUUUUGAAACUAAACUAAGUUAAGAGUAUUGAUUCAAAUCUAGAGGAAAUGUAGUUACAAAUGAUAAGCAUAGUUGUUUCCUUCCCUUUCUUUUGUAAAGUGCGGUUGAUGUUGUUUAAACAUGUAUCACUGGACAUAUCAAUAUUAGAAAUUGAUUGAUUGAUUGAAUCACAA